AGUGAACGCUGGCGGUAGGCCUAACACAUGCAAGUCGAACGGCAGCACAGUAAGAGCUUGCUCUUACGGGUGGCGAGUGGCGGACGGGUGAGGAAUACAUCGGAAUCUACUUUUUCGUGGGGGAUAACGUAGGGAAACUUACGCUAAUACCGCAUACGACCUACGGGUGAAAGCAGGGGAUCUUCGGACCUUGCGCGAUUGAAUGAGGCGAUGUCGGAUUAGCUAGUUGGCGGGGUAAAGGCCCACCAAGGCGACGAUCCGUAGCUGGUCUGAGAGGAUGAUCAGCCACACUGGAACGGAGACACGGUCCAGACUCCUACGGGAGGCAGCAGUGGGGAAUAUUGGACAAUGGGCGCAAGCCUGAUCCAGCCAUACCGCGUGAGUGAAGAAGGCCUUCGGGUUGUAAAGCCCUUUUGUUGGGAAAGAAAAGCAGCAGGUUAAUACCCCGCUGUUCUGACGGUACCCAAAGAAUAAGCACCGGCUAACUUCGUG
Molecule: ribosomal RNA, 492 nt
Filed under: uncultured bacterium
Lineage: Bacteria
Description: partial 16S ribosomal RNA
Rfam family: Bacterial small subunit ribosomal RNA
Source: RNAcentral